CGCCACCCGUCUGGGGCCCGAAAGGAGGGAGCUUUCCCUCUGUCCCCCAGCCUUUGGACUGUCACCAAACAAGCCAUUCGUUCACCAAAUACUUUUUAAGCGCCUACCAUGUGCCUGACAAGGGAUAUGUAACGGUGAGAAAAACUAGGUGUGGUCCAGGCCCUUCAGGGACUCAGGGGCUCGUGGAAGAAGUGGAUAUUGAAGUACUUAUCACACAAAGGAGGAUAAAAGUACGAUAGCGAUAUCUACCACGAAGCUGUUGUUCCACACCAGAACCAAAUGAGCGCAAGAUCUGACAAAAAAAAAAGGUUCAUCUUUUAUUCUUCCAAACACUUUCAUUUAAAUCAAGAGGAUGGGAUGUGGUUAUUACUGUGUUUUUAGACAAAAUCAAUGGUUUCUGGCUCUGAGAUGUUGCAUACACCCUCUCAGUCCCUGUAUCCUGAGAUGGAGUCACCUGAGAAUCCACAGCAAGUCCUAACCAGGGAUGGGUCUGGGUGAUUAAGGAAGAUUGGCUUCAGAACUGGGCCAGGGGCACUGCUUUGCUUUUGCUGUUUUGAUCAGCUCUCUGCCUGCAGGAGACGAGGAAAACCAAUGGGAACAGAAACUCCUAGAGGGCAGAGGCAUGCCUGCCAUCUUCAUCAUUGCAUUACCAUCACCCAACACUAUCAGGGGACCUGCCCUGAUAAUCAGUCUACAGUUGUAUCCAGCAGCUCCAGAGAGACAGCGACCAGCAAGAAGGGGCCAUGAUGAUGGUGGUGGUUUUUUCAAAACGAAAAGGGGGAUAUGUAGGGAAAAGAAAGAGAGAUCAGACUCUUACAGACUCUUACUGUGUCUACAUAGAAAGGGAAGACAUAAGAGACUCCAUUUGGAAAAAGACCUGUACUUUAAACAAUUGCUUUGCUGAGAUGUUGUU
RNAcentral lists this long non-coding RNA (913 nucleotides) under Homo sapiens (human). Its description in RNAcentral is "HSALNT0318166". Lineage: Eukaryota; Metazoa; Chordata; Mammalia; Primates; Hominidae. The record is from RNAcentral.